AACGAACGCUGGCGGCAUGCCUAACACAUGCAAGUCGAACGAGACCUUCGGGUCUAGUGGCGCACGGGUGCGUAACGCGUGGGAACCUGCCCUUAGGGUCGGAAUAACUCCCCGAAAGGGGUGCUAAUACCGGAUAAUGUCGGCGGACCAAAGAUUUAUCGCCUUUGGAUGGGCCCGCGUUGGAUUAGCUAGUUGGUAGGGUAAAAGCCUACCAAGGCGACGAUCCAUAGCUGGUCUGAGAGGAUGAUCAGCCACACUGGGACUGAGACACGGCCCAGACUCCUACGGGAGGCAGCAGUGGGGAAUAUUGGACAAUGGGCGACAGCCUGAUCCAGCAAUGCCGCGUGAGUGAUGAAGGCCUUAGGGUUGUCAAGCUCUUUUACCCGGGAUGAUAAUGACAGUACCGGGAGAAUAAGCUCCGGCUAACUCCGUG
This 433-nucleotide ribosomal RNA is filed under the name uncultured bacterium. RNAcentral's name for it is "partial 16S ribosomal RNA". It matches the Rfam family "Bacterial small subunit ribosomal RNA", at positions 29 to 507 of the family's 1533-position model. The record is from RNAcentral.